UGCAUUACAUUCAAAACCGCUUAUGGUACAAACACAUUUUUUGCAUGUACUGUGUAAAUAGUCCACAUACCUUGACAGGUCAAGCAUGCUUGGCCUCUUCUAUGUCACCUCCUUGUAUGGACAGCUAACCUUUUGACAAAAUCCAUUUCCCAUAAAUGUUAUUUCCUUAGGCAAAUGAACCGUUUGUUCUACAGGUUUAGUUCAUUUUACUCCAUCCUGUCAACGGACACAAUGUUGAACCAAUUGUCAUGUUAGGGUAUGUGAAGAAAUUGUUCCUAGAGGUUAAUAGUCAUCAUAAUAGACGUUGAAAUAUAUGGGGGAGAAAGAGACGGAUGGAAGGCAGCCUCUGCAACUUUGUACGGAAACUCUGAUGCCCUCGGUACCAUGGGACAAUGGGAAGGAACAAGAGAGGAACACAUGAACAAAGAGAGGCAACAAAGGAAAGACAAAGGGAGCGUAUGAAGAGAUUAUGUGAAGGUCAUGUAUAUGCAAUUAUUGCGGAUGAGAACAACGAAGAAGGAACAGAUUACUUUUUGUGUCGUUGUAUUGAGGCCAAAAAGAAAUUGACUUCUACAGUGGUUGAUGGAGAGGGUAUUGAGUACCCAAUAGGAUUUGUUGUUGUUGUGACAGGGACAUGACUUAGAAGGUACCCUAUCAAAAAUUUUAAUGCCUGGUUGUUUGAGGACUUUGAGACACGUAGACAUAUUCUUCAUUACUCAAGCCUUCUUGUUGCAACAAAUAUUCAUUUGAUUAAAUAUCGUGGUAGACCUCUUAACAAGGAUUUGUGGAAAGUUCGUGAAUUAGACCACGAGGCAAUACUUGAGACACUAAGGGUUAGAGCUGAUCGAGAAGGUUCACUUGAUUGAUUUUGGGCCAUCUAAAAGAAUAAUUCUAUAAUAUGGUAGAAUAAUUUUGACAAUUUUGUAUAUAUCU
This is a long non-coding RNA of Cryptomeria japonica (Japanese cedar), 933 nucleotides long. RefSeq lists it as uncharacterized. The transcript is spliced from 5 exons. The record is from RefSeq and is a predicted model, not a curated record. Lineage: Eukaryota; Viridiplantae; Streptophyta; Pinopsida; Cupressales; Cupressaceae.